This 852-nucleotide ribosomal RNA is filed under the name uncultured archaeon. Its description in RNAcentral is "bacterial SSU rRNA". It matches the Rfam family "Archaeal small subunit ribosomal RNA", at positions 85 to 922 of the family's 1478-position model. The record is from RNAcentral.
ACGGCUCAGUAACACGUAGCUAACCUACCCUUAGGACGUGGACAACCCCGAGAAAUUGGGGCUAAUCCCGCGAUAGAUGUAUUGUCCUGGGAUGGUAUUACGUCUAAAGGUAUCCCAUACAUGUUUGGUAUAUGCCUAAGGAUGGGGCUGCGGCCGAUCAGGCUGUUGGUGAGGUAAUGGCUCACCAAACCUUUGACCGGUACGGGCCAUGAGAGUGGUAGCCCGGAGAUGGACACUGAGACAAGGGUCCAGGCCCUACGGGGCGCAGCAGGCGCGAAACCUCCUCAAUGCACUUACGUGCGAAGGGGCUACCUCGAGUGCCACCUGAUGAAGGUGGCUUUUCCUAGGUCUAAAAAGCCUUGGGAAUAAGAGGGGGGCAAGACUGGUGUCAGCCGCCGCGGUAACACCAGCCCCUCGAGUGGUGGGGAUGAUUAUUGGGCCUAAAGCGUCCGUAGCCUGCCGUGUAAGUUUCCCGUUAAAUCCAGCGUCUUAAGCGUUGGACCGCGGGAAAUACUGUACGGCCAGAGAGUGGGAGAGGUCAGCGGUAUUCUGGGGGUAGGGGCGAAAUCCUUUGAUCCCCGGAGGACCACCAGUGGCGAAGGCUGCUGUCUAGAACACGUCUGACGGUCAGGGACGAAAGCUGGGGUAGCGAACCGGAUUAGAUACCCGGGUAGUCCCAGCCGUAAACGAUGCAUGCUAGGUGUUGGGUUGGCCACGAGCCACCCCAGUGCCGCAGGGAAGCCGUUAAGCAUGCCGCCUGGGAAGUACGAUCGCAAGGUUGAAACUUAAAGGAAUUGGCGGGGGAGCACCACCAGGCGUGAAGCCUGCGGUUUAAUUGGAGUCAACGCCGGA